RNAcentral lists this ribosomal RNA (305 nucleotides) under uncultured bacterium. Its description in RNAcentral is "bacterial SSU rRNA". It matches the Rfam family "Bacterial small subunit ribosomal RNA", at positions 333 to 636 of the family's 1533-position model. The record is from RNAcentral.
GUGGCCCUACGGGGCGCAGCAGUGAGGAAUAUUGGUCAAUGGGCGGGAGCCUGAACCAGCCAAGUCGCGUGAGGGACGACGGUCCUAUGGAUUGUAAACCUCUUUUGUCGGGGAACAAAGGCGCCCACGGGUGGGCGGAUGAGAGUACCCGAAGAAAAAGCAUCGGCUAACUCCGUGCCAGCAGCCGCGGUAAUACGGAGGAUGCGAGCGUUAUCCGGAUUUAUUGGGUUUAAAGGGUGCGCAGGCGGAAGAUCAAGUCAGCGGUAAAAUUGAGAGGCUCAACCUCUUCGAGCCGUGGGAACUGG